GAGUUGAUCAUGGCUCAGAAUCAACGCUGGCGGCGUGCCUAACACAUGCAAGUCGCACGAGAAAGGGGCUUCGGCUCUGAGUAAAGUGGCGCACGGGUGAGUAACACGUGAAUUAUCUACCUCCGAGUGGGGAAUAACCUAGAGAAAUCUGGGCUAAUACCGCAUAACACUUACGAGUCAAAGCAGCAAUGCGCUUGGAGAGGAGUUCGCGGCCGAUUAGUUAGUUGGCGGGGUAAUGGCCCACCAAGACGAUGAUCGGUAUCCGGCCUGAGAGGGCGCACGGACACACUGGAACUGAAACACGGUCCAGACUCCUACGGGAGGCAGCAGUGGGGAAUUUUGCGCAAUGGGGGAAACCCUGACGCAGCAACGCCGCGUGGAGGAUGAAAUCCCUUGGGAUGUAAACUCCUUUCGAUCGGGACGAUUAUGACGGUACCGGAAGAAGAAGCCCCGGCUAACUUCGUGCCAGCAGCCGCGGUAACACGAGGGGGGCAAGCGUUGUUCGGAAUUAUUGGGCGUAAAGGGCGCGUAGGCGGUUUGACAAGUCUGAUGUGAAAUCUCUGGGCUCAACCCAGAGUCUGCAUUAGAAACUGUCGGGCUUGAGUAUGGGAGAGGUGAGUGGAAUUUCCGGUGUAGCGGUGAAAUGCGUAGAUAUCGGAAGGAACACCUGUGGCGAAAGCGGCUCACUGGACCAUAACUGACGCUGAGGCGCGAAAGCUAGGGGAGCAAACAGGAUUAGAUACCCUGGUAGUCCUAGCCCUAAACGAUGAUUGCUUGGUGUGACAGGUACCCAAUUCCUGUCGUGCCGA
Molecule: ribosomal RNA, 809 nt
Filed under: uncultured bacterium
Lineage: Bacteria
Description: bacterial SSU rRNA
Rfam family: Bacterial small subunit ribosomal RNA
Source: RNAcentral